CUUAUGCGUUGUUGGGUAGGGGAGCGUUCUGUAAGCCUGUGAAGGUGUACUGUGAGGUAUGCUGGAGGUAUCAGAAGUGCGAAUGCUGACAUAAGUAACGAUAAAGCGGGUGAAAAGCCCGCUCGCCGGAAGACCAAGGGUUCCUGUCCAACGUUAAUCGGGGCAGGGUGAGUCGACCCCUAAGGCGAGGCCGAAAGGCGUAGUCGAUGGGAAACAGGUUAAUAUUCCUGUACUUGGUGUUACUGCGAAGGGGGGACGGAGAAGGCUAUGUUAGCCGGGCGACGGUUGUCCCGGUUUAAGCAUGUAGGCGGAGGUUCCAGGUAAAUCCGGUACCUUAUUAACGCUGAGGUGUGAUGACGAGGCACUACGGUGCUGAAGUAACAAAUGCCCUGCUUCCAGGAAAAGCCUCUAAGCAUCAGGUAACAUCAAAUCGUACCCCAAACCGACACAGGUGGUCAGGUAGAGAAUACCAAGGCGCUUGAGAGAACUCGGGUGAAGGAACUAGGCAAAAUGGUGCCGUAACUUCGGGAGAAGGCACGCUGAUAUGUAGGUGAAGUCCCUCGCGGAUGGAGCUGAAAUCAGUCGAAGAUACCAGCUGGCUGCAACUGUUUAUUAAAAACACAGCACUGUGCAAACACGAAAGUGGACGUAUACGGUGUGACGCCUGCCCGGUGCCGGAAGGUUAAUUGAUGGGGUUAGCGGUAACGCGAAGCUCUUGAUCGAAGCCCCGGUAAACGGCGGCCGUAACUAUAACGGUCCUAAGGUAGCGAAAUUCCUUGUCGGGUAAGUUCCGACCUGCACGAAUGGCGUAAUGAUGGCCAGGCUGUCUCCACCCGAGACUCAGUGAAAUUGAACUCGCUGUGAAGAUGCAGUGUACCCGCGGCAAGACGGAAAGACCCCGUGAACCUUUACUAUAGCUUGACACUGAACAUUGAGCCUUGAUGUGUAGGAUAGGUGGGAGGCUUUGAAGUGUGGACGCCAGUCUGCAUGGAGCCGACCUUGAAAUACCACCCUUUAAUGUUUGAUGUUCUAACGUUGGCCCCUGAUCGGGGUUGCGGACAGUGUCUGGUGGGUAGUUUGACUGGGGCGGUCUCCUCCUAAAGAGUAACGGAGGAGCACGAAGGUUGGCUAAUCCUGGUCGGACAUCAGGAGGUUAGUGCAAUGGCAUAAGCCAGCUUGACUGCGAGCGUGACGGCGCGAGCAGGUGCGAAAGCAGGUCAUAGUGAUCCGGUGGUUCUGAAUGGAAGGGCCAUCGCUCAACGGAUAAAAGGUACUCCGGGGAUAACAGGCUGAUACCGCCCAAGAGUUCAUAUCGACGGCGGUGUUUGGCACCUCGAUGUCGGCUCAUCACAUCCUGGGGCUGAAGUAGGUCCCAAGGGUAUGGCUGUUCGCCAUUUAAAGUGGUACGCGAGCUGGGUUUAGAACGUCGUGAGACAGUUCGGUCCCUAUCUGCCGUGGGCGCUGGAGAACUGAGGGGGGCUGCUCCUAGUACGAGAGGACCGGAGUGGACGCAUCACUGGUGUUCGGGUUGUCAUGCCAAUGGCACUGCCCGGUAGCUAAAUGCGGAAGAGAUAAGUGCUGAAAGCAUCUAAGCACGAAACUUGC
This 1605-nucleotide ribosomal RNA is filed under the name Escherichia coli. RNAcentral describes it as "partial 23S ribosomal RNA". It matches the Rfam family "Bacterial large subunit ribosomal RNA", at positions 1213 to 2797 of the family's 2925-position model. Lineage: Bacteria; Pseudomonadati; Pseudomonadota; Gammaproteobacteria; Enterobacterales; Enterobacteriaceae. The record is from RNAcentral.